This 1062-nucleotide long non-coding RNA is filed under the name Apteryx haastii (Great spotted kiwi). Its description in RNAcentral is "lncRNA (ENSAHAG00000009366.1)". The record is from RNAcentral. Lineage: Eukaryota; Metazoa; Chordata; Aves; Apterygiformes; Apterygidae.
GCCCGGGCGGGGGGCGUCGCGCCCGCUCCCCCUCGUGUGGGCCCCGCCGUGGGAGCCGCAGGCGGGGCGUUACGGGCCAGGCGGGCUGGCGUCGGGAGGUGACGGCGCGGAGGGCUCUUUUUCCGCUUGGGAGGUUGCGCGUGCGGGUCGAAGUCCUGCAUAUUGCGCUUGCACAAGUGACACCAGCCCUGUAGCGGCGGUGGGGGUUUGGGCCUCGAACAUACCCCUUUUGUGGGUCCUGCAGCCCCAUAUCUUGAUCCUGACAGACAUGUUGCAUCGUUCCACAACCCUUCCUGCAUGUGAAUCAGAUAUUGUGUGCAGACCUGGAUGGCAUGUAAAAUAGUUAAUAACACAGAGGUAAAAUCAGUCCUUCUAAUGCUAUAAAUCUGGCCAUGGGAGUUUUUUGCAUUCUGGUCAAUAGCUCUGCUUGUGCGCAUAGUUGUUCAUUGAAUCAUUCUGUUUCUUUCACUCCCUCAUUUGGCCAUUCACUCACAGAAUGUAUUCAUCCCAAGGUGCAUUUUGCUCUUCUUGUUUUCUUAUUGGUAGCUUUAGAAUGAUUUAAACAAACAAGGACAUACAUUAUUUAGUAGUGGCAAAUAUAUUAUGGUAGCAGCAGAAGACUCCAGGUGGGAUUGUAACCUCAUUCCACUGUGCAAAUACAGAGGAGGACAGUCCCUGUCCUGAAUGGUUUACAAUUCAGAGAUUGUGUAUUUCAUAGCAGAGAAGAUAGAUUAAAAGGACCUAAUGGUUUCUGGGUAAGGAGGUUGGAGUGUCCUAAUUUACCAUGAAAUAAGUCAGCAGUAUAGAUGGUAAUACAAGAAAAGUUAUAAAGGCAUGAAAGAUAUAUAGCAUAGAUCCUGUACGCAACAGCCAUCAUCUCCUGACGUAAGUCAAAUGCCACUUGUGUCUUCCCAAUGAUAUAAGACUAUGUGAACUAGGGCAUGGAACAAUAGAUGGAAAAAAUGCCUUGCUGGAGGCAGAUAUUUGAACACAAAUCGUCCCUACAGGCUGAUGCAUUAUUGCAGGGUUCCUGGAUUGACUCAUAUUGACAUUAUUUAUGCA